AUUGAACGCUGGCGGCAGGCUUAACACAUGCAAGUCGAGCGGAGAUGAGGUGCUUGCACCUUAUCUUAGCGGCGGACGGGUGAGUAAUGCUUAGGAAUCUGCCUAUUAGUGGGGGACAACAUUCCGAAAGGAAUGCUAAUACCGCAUACGUCCUACGGGAGAAAGCAGGGGAUCUUCGGACCUUGCGCUAAUAGAUGAGCCUAAGUCGGAUGAGCUAGUUGGUGGGGUAAAGUCCUACCAAGGCGACGAUCUGUAGCGGGUCUGAGAGGAUGAUCCGCCACACUGGGACUGAGACACGGCCCAGACUCCUACGGGAGGCAGCAGUGGGGAAUAUUGGACAAUGGGGGGAACCCUGAUCCAGCCAUGCAGCGUGUGUGAAGAAGGCCUUAUGGUUGUAAAGCACUUUAAGCGAGGAGGAGGCUACUGAGACUAAUACUCUUGGAUAGUGGACGUUACUCGCAGAAUAAGCACCGGCUAACUCUGUGCCAGCAGCCGCGGUAA
RNAcentral lists this ribosomal RNA (501 nucleotides) under uncultured bacterium. RNAcentral's name for it is "partial 16S ribosomal RNA". It matches the Rfam family "Bacterial small subunit ribosomal RNA", at positions 30 to 523 of the family's 1533-position model. The record is from RNAcentral.